UCUGAUUUCAGUGCCACUGUUUGGU
RNAcentral lists this non-coding RNA (25 nucleotides) under Rattus norvegicus (Norway rat). The record is from RNAcentral. Lineage: Eukaryota; Metazoa; Chordata; Mammalia; Rodentia; Muridae.